AGAUUAACGAGAGAAGAGAAGAGCACAAGCAACCGAGAGGUUGGAUCGGGUUCUCCGCCGGUGACAGUAAGAGAUGAGUGAAAAGAAGUCUAACUUCUCUGUGACGUGCAGCCUCUUGAGCCAGUUCAUUAAGGAGAGGAGGAUCAAUGGUGAGCUUGGAGUUUUUGAUAUGGGCUCCAGGCCUCAAGAGCCCACCAAAGGAUCAUUUCGGGCAUCUACUACUAUGAGCUUGUUACCCGGAGCUAACAUCUCGGCCGAAACCGAAACUAUUUCUGCUACGGAACAGAGCACCGCAAAACCCAUGGACUUGUUCCCACAACAAACUGGCUUUGGCUCCGCCCCCGCAGACACUACUAAAACAGAGACCAAACAAUUUGAGAAGGGUCAGCUGACAAUAUUUUACUGCGGAAAAGUGUUGGUGUUCGAUAAUUUUCCGGCCGAGAAGGCGGAGAAUUUGAUGCAGUUGGCAGCGAAAGGGAGCUCGCCGCUCGGUGUUGCCCGUGUGCAGCCCGACGGUGGGCAGCAAGCCGGAACAGGCGACGUCCGGUCCUUCUGAUUUGGCUAUGCCAAUUGCGAGGAGGGCUUCACUCCAUAGAUUCUUUGCCAAAAGAAAAGAUCGGAUCGUUUCAAAAGCACCGUAUCAAAUAAAUGGCAACUCUUCAUCAAUGGGAGAAUCUAGCAAAGCUUGAUCAGACGCAGUCAUGGCUUGGUUUGGGUCGACGAGGGGUCUCGAGUCCAAAUUAACCAAGAUUUGAGAAACUAGGAGAUAGAAAAUAUUGCUAAUGACCAACUCACGCUGAUUUCGGUGACUAGGAGAUUAGUUUGAGAAGAAUAUAACAUAUUGUUAAUUAAAGCAAGACAUAUGUGUACUACAGUAGAUAUUUUUUUUUAUCUUCUUAUAUUAAGGAUCAUGUUGUAUUCUUAUUCAUACUUGGUGUGUUUUUAUUAUUUCCAUUAUUGUUUUCCUUU
This is an RNA transcript of Asparagus officinalis (garden asparagus), 969 nucleotides long. It is a transcript of the gene named protein TIFY 10A-like, with no coding region annotated. The record is from RefSeq and is a predicted model, not a curated record. Lineage: Eukaryota; Viridiplantae; Streptophyta; Magnoliopsida; Asparagales; Asparagaceae. The transcript has 5 exons.